Molecule: long non-coding RNA, 2995 nt
Organism: Micropterus dolomieu (smallmouth bass)
Lineage: Eukaryota; Metazoa; Chordata; Actinopteri; Centrarchiformes; Centrarchidae
Exons: 3
Source: RefSeq, a predicted model, not a curated record
CUCCCAGCUCUUGUGGUUUUCCUCCACAUAUGAAGCAAUCAUGGCCUCCACAUUUCGGUUAAUCCUCUCAGUCAGGUUUGUUUGAGGAUGGUAGGGCGAGGUCCUUUUUUGCUUGAGGUUCCACCGCCUGCAGGUCUCCUCAAAGACAGAUGACACAAACUGGGAACCUUGGUCUGAGAGGAUGAAGGUCGGCACACCCCAGCGAGUCAAAAUCUCCUUUCUUAGGAUCUGGGAGACGGUCUCUGCGGUUGCUUUGCGAAGGGGAAACAUUUCAACCCAUCUGGUGUAAUAGUCCACAAAGACAAUGAGGUAGAGGUUGCCGCUGGAGCUUUGAGGAAAAGGUCCCAUGAGGUCAACUCCUAACAUCUCCCAGGGUUCUUGAACCACAGUUUGUUGCAGUUUUCCAGGAGGUUUCCGCGUCUCAGAUGACCAGAUAGAGGAUUGUCAUGAUAAUGGUGGAGAAGAGUGAUGAUGGCAUGUACACGUGGUAACUUGUUUUGUGAGGUAAUUGUACCACUCUGUAUACUUUGUCCUCCAAAACAGUAAAUUUGGUUGUAGGAUUUUCCAUCACUUCUCCUGUAUCCAUGAUUCUAUCAUACAGGUUUUAGAUGACAGAAUCCUCUUGCUGGGCUUUCCAAAUGUCCUCAUCAGUGACUUGGAGAUUUUUAGAGGUGUCCCUCUUGGAUCGUAGCACAGCAGCACAAGUUGACAGAACAUCUGGCACUGUAUUGUACUUUCCUUUACAGUAUUCCACCGUAAAGGAGAACUCCUGGAGGUGGAGUGCCCACCGGAUCAGAGUGCUGGGCUUUUGGGUUUUAAAAACCCAGACAACCCAGACAAAUGGUCUGUCACAACUGUAAAGUGUCUGCCCUCCAAGUAAUACCUCCAUUUCUCCAGGGCCCAGACAACAGCGAGGCAUUCUUGCUCUGUUGUGGAGUAGUUUCUCUCUGCCUGAUUUAGAGUACAGCUGGCGAAGGUAAGGACUUGCUCUGCACCCAAUCCAGUCUGUUGAGUCAAGACGGCCCCCAAGCCGACGUUGCUGGCAUCAGUGUAAACAACAAAUUGAAGGUUGAAGUCAGGAUGUCCCAGGAUUGGUGGAGAAACCGGAUGUUGUUUCAGGGCCUCAAACACUGCCUGACAUGGGGAGGUCCAAAUGAACUUGGCUACUUUCCAUUUAAGUGCGUUGAGUGGUUCAGUCAGCUGAGAGAAAUGGGGCACAAAACGAUGAUACCAUCCAGCCAUACAAAGAAAUCUUGGUAUUUUUAGAAGUGUCCCUCUUGGAUUGUAGCACAGCAGCACAAGUUAACAGAACAUCUGGCACUGUAUUGUACUUUCCUUUACAGUAUUCCAUGAUAUGGCCCAAAAACGUCAAUGAAGUUUGGAAGAAUUGGCUCUUUUUGAUGUUCACAGUCAGGUUAGCUUCUCUUAGCUUGUCAGUUACUGCCUGUAUGUCAUAGUUGUGCUGUUUAACUGUAUCAGAGUAGAUAAUGAUGUCAUCCAAGUACACAAAACAGGUUUUUCCCCGUAGGUCCCCAAGAACUAGUUCCAUCAGCCGCUGGAAGGUAGGUGGGGCAUUUUUAAGUCCGAAUGACAUUACCUUGAACUGGUAGAGGCCAAAGGGACAGAUGAAGGCAGUUUUUUCUCUGCUGUCUUUAUCCAUCUGAACCUCCCAGUAGCCACUAUUGACGUCCAAGGUAGUGACCACAGCUCUAGCCAGGUACAAGGGCCCUCUUGUCCAAGGCUUUAGCAUGUCCUGCGGUCUUUUGAUUCCUGACCACACAUUUUCAUUUAUCAGAGUGUACGAUGAACCAGUGUCGAGGAUGGCGGUUCCCUUCCAUGGACCAAUGUUCAAGGGAACCCUCAACUGGCAAGAAAGCAGGUUUUCAAGUGGUAAUGAAGGAGUGUUUCCAGAGGUAAAGUUUCCCUGAGUGAGGGAACCAAGUGUGAGAUGACCAUCUUGGCCAUGGGUAGUUUGUGCAGCUUGCUGCUGUGAGGGUCUAGGUGAAGAAGCUCGCUUAGAGUUCCACUGUGGGCAGGAAGCUGGUGCAUGACUUCCCUUGCAGCGCCAACAGUACACAAAGGGGGGUUUGUUAUGGCUGGGUUGGUUUGGUCGGACAGGGUUUUCUCUGGUGUUAUGAGACAGGGCAGCAGAUUUAGACGCAGCAGGCUUGGGUGUUUUCUUCAAUAUAUUCUUUCUCUAUUCAUACUGCAGCUGGUUUUCCCGGUCCUUCUCAAAUUGCUGGCCAAGGUGGACAAGUGCAUCGACAGAGGUCAUGAAACUGGUCAUGAAACUCCUUCCACGUGCAGAUUUUAUGGCGACCUACAUCCCACCAAUCUCUUGCAGUUCCAUGAAGUACAUUACGCAGGGUCGCAAUGAGCUCUUCAUCUGUGAGCGGAUUGAGAGCUAGGAAGUCAUCACACCUUUCCAGUGGGACAGCUCCUCCUGCAGGUGAGUUACUGCAUCAGACAUUGAGGUGAGAACGGAGAAAAGAUCCUUCAGCAGGUCAGUAUGAUAAUGUUUUAGCCUCCAGCCAAGGGAUGCGUUGAAUUGAGAUUGUAGAUAUUCAAGCUGUUUAUCCACAUGCUUGAUGACCUCUCUUUGUUGUUCCUGAAAUAGGUCGGUCAGUGGUUUGGUUUCUUGUUUAGUAUGAGUUGUGAUUUCUUUCGUCAUUCGUGCCAUGUUCUCUUUUAUUUCCUGCUGGUGGUGAAGUUGAUCCUCUGCAAUUUUCUGAAGGUGUUGCUGAAUCCCAUAGCCAGAAAAGGUUUCCUCUAAGGCAGAAAUUUCAGGCCGAGGUCCUCCAUGACUAUUUCGACGGCGUUAAGGGAUGAGCAAGUUCAGAAAACACAGUGAGAUCCAUGUCCAACAGAGAGUAUGUUGUAGGAGGUAACUCCCGGGCCGGCACAACAUUGACAUUUGGCAGUAGUGACUCUACUGAUCCUCCUUCCAUUUCACACCACAAGGACUCUGAGUUAGCAGCCAUUUUGUAUGUGUCGG